UGAGUACGAGAUGCUACGGCAUCGAAGCAGUCUAUGUCAUACUUCCAAGAAAAGCUUGCAAUGUCAUAAACAAAUAAUGCCUGUACCAUAACCGACACAGGUGGGUAGGUAGAGUAUACUAAGGGGCGCGAGUUAACUCUCUCUAAGGAACUCGGCAAAAUGACUCCGUAACUUCGGGAGAAGGAGUGCCUUAUUUUUAUAAGGUUGCAAUAACAAGAUCCAAGCAACUGUUUACCAAAAACACAGGUCUCCGCUAAGUCGUAAGACGAUGUAUGGGGGCUGACGCCUGCCCAGUGCCAGAAGGUUAAAGAAGUUGGUUAGCAUUAGCGAAGCUGAUAACUGAAGCCCUGGUGAACGGCGGCCGUAACGAUAACGGUCCUAAGGUAGCGAAAUUCCUUGUCGGGUAAGUUCCGACCCGCACGAAAGGCGUAAUGAUUUGGAUACUGUCUCGGAGAGGGGCUCGGUGAAAUAGACUUGUCUGUGAAGAUGCGGACUACCUGCACCUGGACAGAAAGACCCUAUGAAGCUUUACUGUAACUUGAGAUUGAAAUUGGACUUUAUCUGCGCAGUAUAGGUGGGAGACGUUGAAAAUAUUCUUGCGGGAAUAUUGGAGUCAUCAGUGAGAUACCACUCUUAUAAUGUUAGAUUUCUAACUUUGUAUCAUUAUCUGGUCAAAGAACAGUUUCAGGCGGGCAGUUUGACUGGGGCGGUCGCCUCCCAAACGGUAACGGAGGCGCACAAAGGUUUCCUCUGAACGUGUAGAAAUCGUAUCUAGAGUGUAAAGGCAUAAGGAAGCUUGACUGUGAGACCUACAAGUCGAGCAGGGACGAAAGUCGGUCUUAGCGAUCUGACGGUGCUGAGUGGAAAGGCCGUCACUCAACGGAUAAAAGUUACUCUAGGAUAACAGGCUGAUCUCCCCCAAGAGUUCACAUCGACGGGGAGGUUUGGCACCUCGAUGUCGGCUCAUCGCAUCCUGGGGCGGUAGUACGUCCCAAGGGUUGGGCUGUUCGCCCAUGAAAGCGGUACGCGAGCUGGGUUCAGAACGUCGUGAGACAGUUCGGUCCAUAUCCGGUGUAGGCGUUAGAAUAUUGAGAGGAGCCUUCUUUAGUACGAGAGGACCGAGAAGGACAUACCUCUGGUGUACCAGUUAUCGUGCCAACGGUAAACGCUGGGUAGCCAUGUAUGGAGAGGAUAACCGCUGAAAGCAUCUAAGUGGGAAGCCCACCUCAAGAUAAG
This 1236-nucleotide ribosomal RNA is filed under the name metagenome. Its description in RNAcentral is "bacterial LSU rRNA". It matches the Rfam family "Bacterial large subunit ribosomal RNA", at positions 1564 to 2808 of the family's 2925-position model. The record is from RNAcentral.